RNAcentral lists this ribosomal RNA (753 nucleotides) under Triticum aestivum (bread wheat). RNAcentral describes it as "partial small subunit ribosomal RNA". Lineage: Eukaryota; Viridiplantae; Streptophyta; Magnoliopsida; Poales; Poaceae. The record is from RNAcentral.
AUCGUUUGGAUGUCUGAAGGUACAAGGUACCAAUCAACAGUUGCUGAGUGGGCCAAACUGAUCAAUGCCCCUGCAGAGCAUGAGGAUGAUAUAGAUGUCUAUGUCAAGAAGAAGAAAGAUCACAACUCCAUGGCCAACAUGUAUAAGGAGAUUCCUGACAAAGCCUUGGAUAAUCAUAAGCUAGGCUCUGUAUAUUAUCUGGUAUCUGGACUGGCCACCAUCAACACCAUCUUGAAGCACACCAUGUUGCCCAAAUCAGGAUAUCACAGGAUGAUCAGAGGCCAUUCCAUCAAUUUUUUGCAGUUGUUUGAUGUGCCCCAGAAGUUCAAAGUGAUGAGUUUGAUUGUUGAGACAAUCAAGAGGACAACUGCAGACCAGAAAAGAUCAUGUGGGUAUGCUCCACACAUCCAAAUGCUCAUCAACUUUAAGAUGGGCACAGGCACAUACCUAUUGGACAAGGAACAUCUUCCCUUGAGGCCUGACUUUGAAGACAACAUAGUUGUCAUGAAUGAAGAAGAUCCCACAUCUGUAGAGGCUCAAGAGAAGAGGGAGAAAGCAAAAGCUAAGAAGGCAGCAAAGAUGCCAAGUGUUGAAGAGGCUUCUCAAGUGUUCCUCAAGUUAAAGCAAGAUCAACUUGGAUAUCUUAUUCAAGCCACCUUGAGGAUUGAGAAAGCAUUGGUCACCCUAACUCGGAACCAAGAGAGCCUGGAGAGGAUCAUUGAAACAAAAUUCUAUGAUCUUGACUUGAAGGUG